RNAcentral lists this ribosomal RNA (497 nucleotides) under uncultured bacterium. Its description in RNAcentral is "partial 16S ribosomal RNA". It matches the Rfam family "Bacterial small subunit ribosomal RNA", at positions 28 to 507 of the family's 1533-position model. The record is from RNAcentral.
GACGAACGCUGGCGGCGUGCCUAAUACAUGCAAGUUGAGCGCUGAAGGAUGGUACUUGUACCAACUGGAUGAGCAGCGAACGGGUGAGUAACGCGUGGGGAAUCUGCCUUUAAGCGGGGGACAACAUUUGGAAACGAAUGCUACUACCGCAUAAAAACUUUAAACACAAGUUUUAAGUUUGAAAGAUGCAAUUGCAUCACUCAAAGAUGAUCCCGCGUUGUAUUAGCUAGUUGGUGAGGUAAAGGCUCACCAAGGCGAUGAUACAUAGCCGACCUGAGAGGGUGAUCGGCCACAUUGGGACUGGGACACGGCCCAAGCUCCUACGGGAAGCAGCAGGAGGGGAACUUCGGCAAUGGACGAAAGUCUGACCGCACAACGCCGGGUGAGUGAAGGAGGGUCUCGGAUCGUAAAACUCUGUUGGUAGAGAAGAAAGUUGGUGAGAGUGGAACGCUCAUCAAGUGACGGUAACUACACAGAAAGCGACGGCUAACUACGUG